RNAcentral lists this small nuclear RNA (276 nucleotides) under Erinaceus europaeus (western European hedgehog). RNAcentral describes it as "7SK RNA". It matches the Rfam family "7SK RNA". From Rfam's summary of the family: 7SK was discovered as an abundant small nuclear RNA in the mid-70s but a possible function has only recently been suggested. Two independent studies have found that 7SK RNA binds the CDK9/cyclin T complex (known as elongation factor P-TEFb). Lineage: Eukaryota; Metazoa; Chordata; Mammalia; Eulipotyphla; Erinaceidae. The record is from Rfam by way of RNAcentral.
AGAUGCAAGGGUGAUCUGAUUAUGAUAUCUGUUACUACAUUGAUCACCUAAGUUGAUCUGGCUGGGUAAGUGGGAGUCUCCUUCCUUCCUCACUGUUCCAUGUGUGUCCCUUCUGAGGCUGCUUGGUCAGCUGAUCUUAUGGAACAGAGAAUGACUGGUCGUUGGUCCUUUCUAGAACCUGUAAACAAGCUCUCAGGGUCUACAGCAUAGUUGCUGAUUCUUUCUGUUCUUUCCCUUUAUUUAGAGAAAAGAAAUGUAAUGUAAGUACUUUGUCUU